This is a long non-coding RNA of Oncorhynchus tshawytscha (Chinook salmon), 2543 nucleotides long. The record is from Ensembl. Lineage: Eukaryota; Metazoa; Chordata; Actinopteri; Salmoniformes; Salmonidae.
CUUUGGCCAUGUUCUGUUAUAAUCUCCACCCGACACAGCCAGAGAGGACUGGCCACCCCUCAUAGCCUGGUUCCUCUCUAGGUUUCUUCCUAGGUUUUGGCCUUUCUAGGGAGUUUUUCCUAGCCAACGUGCUUCAACACCUGCAUUGCUUGCUGUUUGGGGUUUUAGGCUGGGUUUCUGUACAGCACUUUGAGAUAUCAGCUGAUGUUCGAAGGGCUAUAUAAAUAAUUUUGAUUUGAUUUGAUUUAUUCUCCUACAUUAUUGUAUCAUUUCUACAAACUUCAAAGUGUUUUCUUUCCAAUAGUUCCAAGUAUAUGCAUAUCCUGGGUUCAGGGCCUGAGCAACAGACAGUUUACUUUGGGCACCUCAUUCAUGCGGAAAAUGAGAAAAAGGGGCCUAGCCCUAAUAAGUUUUGAAAAGGCUAAUUUCAACAUGGAGGUGACGAUCACCAUGCUGGAAGGAUGAAUUUCGACUAGACCAGACAGAAAACAGCAGGAGCUGAGUAUGGCAACUUGGUAUGAACUUUGAACUAUAUUUCGCUGAAGAAGUGAUACAUCCUAGAAGUUGAGUUGCUGCAGCUGUAAACGUACGUGGCCUAGGAAAGGACAGACAAUCUCUGAAGAACGACAGGCUACUUAAACGUAUCCACUCUACAACACUACAACCAGAUUGAUUCUACAAAAGACAAUGGCGAUCUCUGCUGGGUAAACCAGUCUUUCAUCUUCAACCCAUCUAUUGAAUCCCAGCUCAGAGAAGUACAAGUGACAGCUUGUUAGCAGCAUGUUGAGAUGUACCUGCCAGCAGACAAGCUUGGUUUACACAUCGGGGUGGAGCUAUUCUACCUAUUCAAAGACCUGCGGUCACAACUGCUUACAGUCGACGUAACCCCAUGGGUCUGAUGGUUGCACUUGAUGACAACAACAGAGCAGCAGGAGAGCUAUUCUGGUAUGACGGAGUCUCUGGAGGUAUUUCAACAAUGUCAGGGCAUGUUGACCAUCCAGGUGAUGUAUUCUGGGUACAGUGACCCUAGCAACCUAAAUUUUGAGAACAUCUCCGUGAUUGGAGUCUCCAGUCCACCCGUGACUGUCAGUCACACACGGCAACAAAGUCAUUGUACAUCCUUUCAACUAUGACAACAAGCAGAAAUCCUACCCGGGUCGACCACCAGAGGGAGACUGCAACGGCGAUUCCCCAACACGGACAUCCCCUGGCAAUUCCUGUGAUGCUUUGGAGCUUCCAAAAAACCUACCAAGGUAGACCACCAGACGGGGGGACUGCAACAGCGAACACCAACUGGACAUCUGCUGCCCAGCCUUGGAGUGGCCUUCUUCAUUCGCAUAAACCUUACCCGGGUCAACCACCAGAGGGGAAACACAACGAUGGUCCAAAACUAGGACAACCAACGGUAAUUGUUCUGUUGGUUAGCAAAUGGAAGAAUAAUCACAAGAUUGAACCCAACAAGCAGUGACUGUCAUGACAUUGCCCUGUUGGGUUGGGUUUAUGACCCCCAUUAAUACAUUUGACCCUUUUCUAUCCACUCACAGAAUGGACUCUUGGAAAGCCCUUUGAUUAACAUAGAGAGAGUAGGGUAACAUCAAAAGGUUGGGGGAAGAGUAUAAUAUUUCUGUAAUAGAAACCAGUCUAAAGUGUCCGUUGAUACUUAAAGAAUAUGAUGUCAGAUCAGUUGUCGUCUGAGACAUUAUUACUGAUGAUAGGAUGACAUAAAUUGUAUCUUGGAAAGUCUACACAUUCUAGUUAUCAGAUUCACGUGGAAUUGUUGUGCAAUUUAAAUAUUUAAAUAUGAAACUAUUUGUGAAAGGAUUAAAUGUAAUUUUAGCUUCCAAAUAAGAUAAACUAUGCUCACUCAGUGGCCACUCCCAAGUGAACAGAUAUUGGUUGAGAACUAUGAAAAAUGCCCUUCUCUCCCCCAAUACAACGGAAGUCAACCUCAGUUCCCGAUGAUGUGAGGACUGGUGUCCAUAUGUUUAAAAGGGCUAAUUUCAACAUGGAGGUGAAUAUCACCACACUGUAAGGAUUAAUUUAUACUAGACCAGCUAGAAUUCAGUGCGAGCUGAUUAUGGCAAAAUGGUAUGAUCUUUGAACUCUCAUUCACUAAAGAAGAAGUGAUGCAUCGUAAAAGUCGAGUUAUCAGCUGCAGCUGUAAACGUACGUGGCCUGGGAAAGGACAGACAAUCUCCUAAUCAGAAAGACAGGGUACAACAUUUCCACCUUACAACACUACGAACAGACAUAUUUUACAAAGGACAAGGGCGAUCUCUGCUGGGCAAACCAUUCCUCCAUCUUCGACCCCUCUAUCGAAGUACAGCUCAGUGUAAAGAUAUAUCAUGCAUUUUCCUUUUCCGAAUGGGAGGUUAUUAGAAUGCAUAAGAUUCUGUAUUUACGUUAGCAUAGCUUUUCAAGGUCCGAUGGAGACCCAAUCUCCUUUGUACCUCAGUGUCCUGCUUUUUCAAUCAAACCCAACGCCCUUUCUUUGUGUAACCAGCCGUCAUAUAGGUUUCAUCUGCUAGGGACUUUUUCUUUUA